This 820-nucleotide long non-coding RNA is filed under the name Heterocephalus glaber (naked mole-rat). RNAcentral's name for it is "lncRNA (ENSHGLG00100042748.1)". Lineage: Eukaryota; Metazoa; Chordata; Mammalia; Rodentia; Bathyergidae. The record is from RNAcentral.
GUCGGGCGGGCGCGGGACCAGCCGCUGAAGCAAGACUGGGCACGUCCACCCUACGAGUGAGGAGACACUCAGCCACGGCUCUGCUAGAACUUGGACCCACGUCUCCUGACUCCUAAGCGCAGGGCUCCUGCUUUCCGAUGCAGCCACUCCCGGAGCACUUGUUCUGAACAAUUCGUACAUUCUGUAAAUUCAGCAUUCCAGCUCUAGCCUUUACCGUCGGGCAGACGGCUGUCGGAAAGGCGCUUGGCCGCUCGGAGCGCUCCAGUGAGAGAAUUACGCCUGUGGGAGUCGGCACGCAGGCGUGCACAGCAGCCGAGGAGAAACAGGAGGGAUCGUGAGGGCGUGUCACGAGGCGGGGCAGGGGCCAGGGUUGCAGCAAGUGUAGAGGUGGAGUCCGGGAGCAGCUGCUGCUCGCUGCCAGCCUGCUGUCCACCUGGUCUCCUGUUGCUCAACAAAUGCGGGAAAUCCAGCCUGUGGGCCUGCGUGGGACUCUAGCUGCGCGCACUAUCUGUGAAAAGCCGUCCUGCGCACCUUGCUCGGGCCAGGUCCUCACUGAGCUCCUCUCGCUCUCCCCCGGGACUAUGUCUUCCCUUCUGCUGGCCCCUGCUUGCCCUCUUCUCAUUACCCCCACAGCAUGAUCCAGCAAGAUUGGCCCUGGCACCAAAAGAUGUGGACUUCAGCUGUGUAGUUUACUGGGCUCUUCUGAGACCCGACUCAGCUUAGUGAGUUGGUUGAAUGGAGCAAAAAGUCAUACUUUCCAUCAACUAGAGAUUGGUGAGGUCAGAUGAGGAGGAAGAAUCCUCUUCUCGCCGUGGGUUGC